AGCGAACGGGAUUAGAUACCCCGGUAGUCCUGGCCCUCAACGCUGUUCGCUCGUUCUACGGAGUAUCGACCCUCUGUGGGACUAAGGUAACCCGGUAAGCGAACCGCCUGGGUAGUACGAUCGCAAGAUUAAAACUCAAAGGAAUAGACGGGGACUCGCACAAGCGGUGGAUUAUGCGGCUUAAUUCGUCGAUAAACGAAGAACCUUACCAAGGUUAGAAAUCCAACUGCAUCCGAGGUGAAAGCCUCGGAGCCUUCGAGGGUGUUGGACAGGUGAUGCAUGGUCGUCGUCAGUUCGUGGUUUGAACUGUUCCCUUCAGUGGGGUAACGAACGCAACCCCCGUUGCCUGUUGCCUAUAUGGUCAGGCGAGACUGCUCCCUCACGGGAGAGGAAGGUGGGGAUGACGCCAGAUCAGCAUGUCCCUCUGAUACCUUGGGCUGCACGCAUAAUACAAUGGGUGGUACAACAGGUCGCAAUACCGUAAGGUGGAGCCAAUCCUUAUAAAACCACCCCCAGUACGGAUAGAGGUCUGCAACCGACCUCUUGAAGCCGGAAUCACUAGUAAUCCCAGGUCAGCUAAACUGGGGUGAAUACGUUCUCGAGUCUUGUACUCAUUCAGAAAUGUGCUUGGUAGUUAUUCAAUCCAGUCCGUU
This 653-nucleotide ribosomal RNA is filed under the name Patescibacteria group bacterium. RNAcentral's name for it is "bacterial SSU rRNA". It matches the Rfam family "Bacterial small subunit ribosomal RNA", at positions 767 to 1533 of the family's 1533-position model. The record is from RNAcentral.